This 404-nucleotide ribosomal RNA is filed under the name uncultured bacterium. RNAcentral's name for it is "partial 16S ribosomal RNA". It matches the Rfam family "Bacterial small subunit ribosomal RNA", at positions 28 to 525 of the family's 1533-position model. The record is from RNAcentral.
GAUGAACGCUGGCGGCGUGCCUAAUACCUGCAAGUCGAGCGAAGCGGGGACGGGUGAGUAACACGUGGAUAACCUCCUCUAAGACUGGGAUAACUUCGGGAAACAGGAGCUAAACCGGAUAAUUAUAUAUGGAUCCGCGCUGCAUUAUCUAGUUGGUAAGGUAACGGCUUACAAAGGCAAAGAUGCAUAGCCGACCGUAGAGGGGGAUCGGCCACACUGGAACUGAGACACGGGCCAGACUCCUACGGGAGGCAGCAGUAGGGAAUCUUCCGCAAUGGGCGAAAGCCUGACGGAGCAACGCCGCGUGAGUGAUGAAGGUCUUCGGAUCGUAAAACUCUGUUAUUAGGGAAGCGGUACCUAAUCAGAAAGCCACGGCUAACUACGUGCCAGCAGCCGCGGUAAUU